Molecule: transfer-messenger RNA, 349 nt
Filed under: Streptococcus pneumoniae
Lineage: Bacteria; Bacillati; Bacillota; Bacilli; Lactobacillales; Streptococcaceae
Description: transfer-messenger RNA, SsrA
Rfam family: transfer-messenger RNA
About the family: Bacterial tmRNA, also known as 10Sa RNA or SsrA, is named for its dual tRNA and mRNA-like properties.
Source: RNAcentral
GGGGUCGUUACGGAUUCGACAGGCAUUAUGAGGCAUAUUUUGCGACUCGUGUGGCGACGUAAACGCUCAGUUAAAUAUAACUGCAAAAAAUAACACUUCUUACGCUCUAGCUGCCUAAAAACCAGCAGGCGUGACCCGAUUUGGAUUGCUCGUGUUCAAUGACAGGUCUUAUUAUUAGCGAGCGAGAUACGAUUAAGCCUUGUCUAGCGGUUUGAUAAGAGAUUGAUAGACUCGCAGUUUCUAGACUUGAGUUAUGUGUCGAGGGGCUGUUAAAAUAAUACAUAACCUAUGGUUGUAGACAAAUAUGUUGGCAGGUGUUUGGACGUGGGUUCGACUCCCACCGGCUCCA